Molecule: transfer RNA, 82 nt
Filed under: Octopus vulgaris (common octopus)
Lineage: Eukaryota; Metazoa; Mollusca; Cephalopoda; Octopoda; Octopodidae
Also listed under: 1 other name
Rfam family: tRNA
About the family: Transfer RNA (tRNA) molecules are approximately 80 nucleotides in length.
Source: Rfam by way of RNAcentral
GACGAAGUGGCCGAGUGGUUAAGGCGGUGGACUGCUAAUCCACUGGGAUUUUCCCGCGUGAGUUCGAAUCUCAUCUUCGUCG